UACAGAGACUGCAAGCGUUAUUCGGAUUCACUGGGCGUAAAGGGUGCGCAGGCGGCCAAGUGUGUGAGGCGUGAAAGCCCGGGGCCUAACCCCGGAAUUGCACCUCAAACUACAUGGCUAGAGCAUUGGAGAGGGUAGCGGAAUUCACGGUGUAGCAGUGAAAUGCGUAGAUAUCGUGAGGAACACCAGAGGCGAAGGCGGCUACCUGGACAAUUGCUGACGCUCAGGCACGAAAGCGUGGGGAGCAAAAGGG
RNAcentral lists this ribosomal RNA (253 nucleotides) under uncultured bacterium. RNAcentral's name for it is "partial 16S ribosomal RNA". It matches the Rfam family "Bacterial small subunit ribosomal RNA", at positions 524 to 776 of the family's 1533-position model. The record is from RNAcentral.